GAUGAACGCUGGCGGCGUGCCUAAUACAUGCAAGUCGAGCGAACGGACGAGAAGCUUGCUUCUCUGAUGUUAGCGGCGGACGGGUGAGUAACACGUGGAUAACCUACCUAUAAGACUGGGAUAACUUCGGGAAACCGGAGCUAAUACCGGAUAAUAUUUUGAACCGCAUGGUUCAAAAGUGAAAGACGGUCUUGCUGUCACUUAUAGAUGGAUCCGCGCUGCAUUAGCUAGUUGGUAAGGUAACGGCUUACCAAGGCAACGAUGCAUAGCCGACCUGAGAGGGUGAUCGGCCACACUGGAACUGAGACACGGUCCAGACUCCUACGGGAGGCAGCAGUAGGGAAUCUUCCGCAAUGGGCGAAAGCCUGACGGAGCAACGCCGCGUGAGUGAUGAAGGUCUUCGGAUCGUAAAACUCUGUUAUUAGGGAAGAACAUAUGUGUAAGUAACUGUGCACAUCUUGACGGUACCUAAUCAGAAAUCCACGGCUAACUACGUG
Molecule: ribosomal RNA, 497 nt
Filed under: uncultured bacterium
Lineage: Bacteria
Description: partial 16S ribosomal RNA
Rfam family: Bacterial small subunit ribosomal RNA
Source: RNAcentral